Molecule: ribosomal RNA, 839 nt
Filed under: uncultured archaeon
Lineage: Archaea
Description: bacterial SSU rRNA
Rfam family: Archaeal small subunit ribosomal RNA
Source: RNAcentral
UUCCGGUUGAUCCUGCCGGACCUGACUGCUAUCGGAUUGAUACUAAGCCAUGCGAGUCAUUGUAGUAAUACAAGGCAGACGGCUCAGUAACGCGUAGUCAACCUACCCUAUGGACGAGGAUAAUCUCGGGAAACUGAGAAUAAUACUCGAUAGACCAUUAUGCCUGGAACGGUUUAUGGUUAAAAUGAUUCGUCGCCAUAGGAUGGGACUGCGGCCUAUCAGCUUGUUGGUGAGGUAAUGGCCCACCAAGGCGAUUACAGGUACGGGCUCUGAGAGGAGAAGCCCGGAGAUGGGUACUGAGACAAGGACCCAGGCCCUAUGGGGCGCAGCAGGCGAGAAAACUUUGCAAUGUGCGAAAGCACGACAAGGUUAGUCCGAGUGAUUUCUGCUAAAGAAAUCUUUUGCAAGUUAUAAAACCACUAGUGAAUAAGGGGUGGGCAAGUUCUGGUGUCAGCCGCCGCGGUAGAACCAGCACCUCAAGUGGUCAGGAUGAUUAUUGGGCCUAAAGCAUCCGUAGCCUGCUCUGUUAGUUUUCGGUUAAAUCCAUGUGCUCAACACAUGGGCUGCCGAAAAUACUGCAGGGCUAGGGAGUGGGAGAGGUAGACGGUACUCAGUAGGAAGGGGUAAAAUCCUUUGAUCUAUUGAUGACCACCUGUGGCGAAGGCGGUCUACCAGAACACGUUCGACGGUGAGGGAUGAAAGCUGGGGGAGCAAACCGGAUUAGAUACCCGGGUAGUCCCAGCUGUAAGCGAUGCAGACUCGAUGAUGCAUUGGCUUAUUGAAAAUGCAGUGUCGCAGGGAAGCCGUUAAGUCUGCCGCCUGGGAAGUACGUACGCAAG